UGACAUGCCUGUUUGUACAUCCGUUCAUCUC
This 31-nucleotide non-coding RNA is filed under the name Mus musculus (house mouse). The record is from RNAcentral. Lineage: Eukaryota; Metazoa; Chordata; Mammalia; Rodentia; Muridae.